AGUAACACGUGGAUAACCUACAUAUAAGACUGGGAUAACUUCGGGAAACCGGAGCUAAUACCGGAUAAUAUUUUGAACCGCAUGGUUCAAAAGUGAAAGGCGGUCUUGCUGUCACUUAUAGAUGGAUCCGCGCUGCAUUAGCUAGUUGGUAAGGUAACGGCUUACCAAGGCAACGAUGCAUAGCCGACCUGAGAGGGUGAUCGGCCACACUGGAACUGAGACACGGUCCAG
This 231-nucleotide ribosomal RNA is filed under the name uncultured Staphylococcus sp. Its description in RNAcentral is "partial 16S ribosomal RNA". It matches the Rfam family "Bacterial small subunit ribosomal RNA", at positions 109 to 334 of the family's 1533-position model. Lineage: Bacteria; Bacillati; Bacillota; Bacilli; Caryophanales; Staphylococcaceae. The record is from RNAcentral.